CCGUUGCCCAGGGCCACGCGGCUGGCUCACACCCACAGAUCCUCAGGGACUCGUAACCUUCACCUCGGCUUUCCAGGGCUGGGCCAUCCACCACCGACCCCCGCUCCGCCACCUGCCCGCUGGUCCUGCUCUCACUCUGCCCCAGGCACUCACUCUGGAUGGCUCUUCCACACUCCAGCCCAGCACUCACACAGAAGGGGAAG
This 203-nucleotide long non-coding RNA is filed under the name Homo sapiens (human). RNAcentral's name for it is "LHRI_LNC1796.1". The record is from RNAcentral. Lineage: Eukaryota; Metazoa; Chordata; Mammalia; Primates; Hominidae.